GGCUGAGGGGGCGGGCUGAGGGGACGGGCUGAGGGGACGGGCUGAGGGGACGGGCUGAGGUGAGCGGCCGGUCCGGCCCCAGCCUCCCCGCCCGCCGCAGGCCCCCGCCCGCCGACGGCGCCUCCUCCUGCCCGAGAGGCUUCCCCCGGAGACCCCCUGUCAGGUGCGGGGCCCAGGCAGCGAGGGACCGGGUGUCCCACCGCCGGGCCCGCCGCCCCGCACAACGGCGGGGGGCCGUCUGUGGGNNNNNNNNNNCCCUGUCAGGUGCGGGGCCCAGGCAGCGAGGGACCGGGUGUCCCACCGCCGGGCCCGCCGCCCCGCACAACGGCGGGGGCCUGUCUGUGUGUGAGGUGUUGGAUUUUGGGGAAUCGCUCAAGAUGCUGGAAACCGUAGUAGGCGUAAGAGUAGUGCAGGUUCAGAGGAGAAGAAGAGGGUUGCAUAUGCAUGGAAGUAUGUAG
Molecule: long non-coding RNA, 458 nt
Filed under: Calidris pugnax (ruff)
Lineage: Eukaryota; Metazoa; Chordata; Aves; Charadriiformes; Scolopacidae
Description: lncRNA (ENSCPUG00000002693.1)
Source: RNAcentral